This is a long non-coding RNA of Anas platyrhynchos (mallard), 3972 nucleotides long. RefSeq lists it as uncharacterized. The record is from RefSeq and is a predicted model, not a curated record. NCBI's taxonomy places the organism in Eukaryota, Metazoa, Chordata, Aves, Anseriformes, Anatidae.
CCAAGCCCUCUGCCCUGCAGGGAAGGCUACCAUGUGCUGCACCAGGCACCCAAAGCUGCUGAACAGAAUAAAUUAGCUGUUUGUGGAGAAGAAAGGAGCGUUAGGAAGAAGCUGCUUGAUUGUAGAGAGAGCGGUUAUUCAGGGGCAAGGAGCUGGGUGGGAUUGGGGAUGUGCAUGGGCACGCAGACACCAUUGGGUACCUCCGUGGGGCUGGGGGGUCCCAACCCUCAUCCCCAGUCCCGAGGACACCGCUUGGAGAGGGGAUGGUGAUGGGAGCAGGGAGAGUUACAGGAGACAGUGGUGGGAUGGUCACUGGGCACGUGGAGCUCUUUGCACUGCAGAACAAAGAUGUCGUGUCCCAGAGGGUGGUAAAAGAUAUUUAUGGGUUGCCAUGCAGGCCGUAAUUGAAUGACAUUAGAGUGGUGGGAUUUUUUUAAAAAACCCUAAAUCAUUCCAGAGCUCUCGCUACUGUUUUAAAUUGUAACUUGGCUUUUUAAAAGUUUAUCGUGCACUAAUUCAUCCAGCUCGUUCAUUUACAUUCUGCUGACAGGGUAUAAAACUGCUGCUUUUUUCAUCCCAGAAAAUUCUAACUUUGCAAUUUAUGGUGCCUUUUUGAUUUAAUCAGGAUAUUUCCUAAAUUCCAUGGCACUAACAUGGCAUUUUUCAAGAAGCACCUGAAAGAUGUCUGGCUGUUAUUUACGCCCCGGUGCAGCCAGUGUUCCUGGUGUGUCCCCACGAGCUGCUGAUGGCUGUACCCAGCUGGGGCGCUCCCAUGGGAAUCGCCAGAGCCUGUCCCCAUCCCAGGGGAGCAUCACCUGCAGAGGCCCUUUUGCCUUGCUCCAGAGAGCCGGUGUCAUGCCGUUACAUGCUGAAACACUGUUAUUUCACUCUUCCGAACGCUGUCAGAGCAAGUCACAGGAGGGAUUAUUUUUGGCUCUCUCCAGCGUAGUUACCUAGCAAUUUGCACGAGGCUUGGCAUUACUGGGUAGUUACUCGAGCCGUGUGAGCUGCUUUGCAGCAGGCACUUCAUUUGUCAAAUUUAGUUCCUUUUACUGUUCGCAAAUAGUCCAGACACCAGCUUGGAGUCUUACAAAUUUGUUCUCUGUUGGAAAAAUUUCAGCCCUGUUGGUUGUUUGUGAAAUAUUUCCUCUGAUCAUUGCUUCUGAGCGCCUGCCUGGGCGCAGCCACCCCGACGGAGCCUCCAUUCCCUGCACGAGGAAGAGAAAGCCACAGCAUAUCCUGGUAUCGAUGCUCUUUAGGACAUUGCUUGGAAAUGUCUUCCAGUAUUUGACUUUUCAAGUUCCUCAGGUUGAAAAGAAAUAACGUGCCAACUUCUUCCUCUUCUGGCUUCUCGCUGUGUCCUGGCUUCUCAUGGAUUUCAGCGCACACAGCAUCGCUGCUUUAAUGAGCCAUAAAUGAACUUGAAGAAUAGUAGUGAAGAGCUGUUGUUAUUCAGCUAAUAAGCAAUAUUGAUUGCUCGAAAGCAGAAGAGUUGCUGCCUUCCAUCUUCCCAGCGCCUCCCCUCUGCUUCCCCCUCUGCUCCCCCAAGCCCAGCGUGUGCGGCACCGUGAGGCGAGUGCUGUAGCUGAAGGACAUCCAUUUAAUCUCAUCAGCAUCACAGUGCGCUCGUUCUUCUGCGAGCAGCUUCUGUGCACGCGAGAUGAUGCUAUCAGGUACACCCGGCGCUUUCCAGAGGAAAUGUGUUUAUAAAACUUUGCUCCCACGGCACAUAAAUGUUUGUUAGCUCCAUUAUCCCCAUCAUUUUGUUCUCCAAAGUGUUGCAAAGAAGAUGAAAUGAGAGUGAUGGUGCUUUUGGAGCUCCAGUGCACGCUGGAUGUUUGCUUUAAAUAGAAUUAACCAUGCAAAUUGAAUCAUGUGAGUGUAAAUUAGCGUUCAUUUCGCUGGUGUUCUUGGUACCGCUUAACCUACCAUUUACCCCAAGACAUCUGCUAAGUGCCAUUCUUUCAAGUACUUAAACAGCACCUAUUGCUACCAAAAAAAUCCCGGCCCCACGGAACAACAAAGCUGCUGGAAAGCCUGUAAUUAUCAUCAGAGGACUAUUGUGGCUGCAGGAGGGAGCGGGUGCGCGGCUCCCCGGCGCUGGUGCCCGCUCACAGCAGAGGCAGCGCGGGGCCGGGCGCUGCUCACACGCUGCUGCAGCUUGCUGAGGUUUGCUGGGGCCUGGGAGGGCUGGAUUCGGCCCCAGACCCUGCUCGGCUUCGGGCUGGGUGCUGGGAGGCAGCCCAAUCCAGCACGGGGGCUGGUGAGAUGUGCAUGGCAAGCAGAUGAGCAGCAGCUUCUUUCCCACCACCUGCCCCGGCGAGGCUCCAGCACGAGGCAGAGCGCAGCCCUCUAGCACAGAGCAGCAGCUGGGGGAGGCAGCCACAGCCUCCUGGUGCUGGUGCCAGGGCUGUGGUACAGGGGACUGGAAGCACUGGAAGCGCUGGAAACGUGCCCCAAGAGGAGUGCUGCUGGGCUCCCCAGCCAGGGCCUCCCUCCUGCGCCAGCCCUGGGAGGAGGGCGCAGCCUCUGGGUGAGAUUUCGGUGUCCAUUAUCUCCUGCUGGCAUCUCGUCCUCACCCACCAGGAAAGGGAGAGCCCACGGCAGCCACCAGCCCCGAGCCCUGGCGGUGUGAUCUAUUAUUUACACCCUUAUUUAAGCCUCCGUGGUCAGAGCUGGGAGGAUGAACGCAGGAACCUCACCAAGGAGCGGCGGGUGGGAAGCCACGGGCAGAGCCCUGCAGGUUGGGUUUGCUUCUGCAGAUCCAGGCACGGAUAACAGCAGAACCCAUGGGGACAAGGAUGGGAGGGGAUGGUGCUGGCUGUGCCAGCAGUGAGGGCAGCCCGAGGAGCAUCCCUGGGUCCUCCCUGGCUUCUCCUGCGACUCGUGCCACCUCCCUGCAACGUGAGGGAAGUCACCGCGCCUCGCACGAAGAAUCGGGCGCAAUUCCUCCAAAGCAUUUAUGCAAACCUCAGACGGCAAUGACACGUCGGCUCGUGUGAUCCUGUUAACAGAUGGUCCGAAGACAGGCUCGAGAUCUGAAUUAGUCCUGGGUUCCUGUAACGUGGCUGGGAGCAUAUGGCCCGAAUGGAUUCGUAUCGGAGCUUUAAUAGCGAAGUAAACUAUCUCAGAUAAAUAAAGGAAAAGGAAGGAGAAAAAAAAACACUUCACCAGCACUCAGACUGUGCUGAAAGGCUGCGGCAGUCCCUCAUCCAGCUCGUGCUUCCUCCCAGCAGCAGACGAGGUUUGGCUGUUGAUGAUCCGGGCAGAAGUGAGCAGCUCUCUGCUGCACAAGCACAGCCUGCACAGCCAGGUGGCUGCCCCUGGGCGCAGCCCGGGAUGGAGAUGUCACAGCAGCGCAGAGGAAAGCCUCGCAGGUGGUGGAGCUGGCUGCCACGCUCGUGGCCUGCGCUUCACCCACCCCGGGCUUGUUUCACAGUGGAUGGAGCUUUUGCCUUGGUGCUGUGGAUCGCAGGAGGAGGGCACAAGUGCUGGAGGAGCAGCGCUGCACUUCGGACAAGGGCCACCACCAAAUCCCUCCCGUGCAGGAUGUCCCCAGCGAGCCCCAGGCUUGUGGCCUGGGGAACAGCUCCACAGAGGCCCUGCUUGUUGCUAAUCCCAUCUGGCAUUUUGUUUUAUUGCAGGGCUACAGGAACGGCGGUGAUGGAUAGCUUGUGUUCUGCCGUUUGUCACACCGCUGCUGCAUGUUUUAUCAGCUGCUGGUUUCGAACUCCAAGCCAUCAGUAGGGUACUAUUUCGGAAAGUGGGACAUCAUACGUUGAUUUCUUAUGGUUUCAUGAAUUCACAAAAUAGUGGGUUUUUUUCUUUUUAUUUCAGCCUUAAUAUGUUUUUUAAGCAGCUUGCCUGUGCUGCUUGGGAUUUCUCUAAAGAACAAACACAGUGUGAUACAUAUGGUGAAAAUGCUGAGCGAUGAUGUUUGAUAAUGCUAAUUAAAUAGCAUGUGAAUAUUAA